RNAcentral lists this long non-coding RNA (247 nucleotides) under Fukomys damarensis (Damara mole-rat). RNAcentral describes it as "lncRNA (ENSFDAG00000032115.1)". Lineage: Eukaryota; Metazoa; Chordata; Mammalia; Rodentia; Bathyergidae. The record is from RNAcentral.
CUGGCAGUCUAAUUCAUCUCGAGUUCAGAUACCAGGUCUCUGCCAAAGGCUAUCAAUCUCUACCAUCAAAGCUGCAGGUCUCUGCUAGUCUCUGGAACUCUUCAGGGAUAGCAACAUCUAGUGGCUACAUAUCUUUUUUUGUGUGACCUUCUCUGCCCACAUUACCUAAGAAUCAUGUGAAUUUACAGGACGACAGGCACCUACAGUAUCCAGGUAAGAAUCACAAAGCUGUGAGCGAGGCUUUGUU